GGAGGAAAAGAAACCAACAGGGAUUGCCUUAGUAACUGCGAGUGAAGCGGCAAAAGCUCAAAUUUGUAAUCUGGCGUCUCCGGCGCCCGAGUUGUAAUUUGGAGAGGCACCUUCGGGGGGAGCGCCGGCCUAAGUUCCUUGGAACAGGACGUCACAGAGGGUGAGAAUCCCGUGUUCGGCCGGCUGCCUUCUUCCAUGUGAAGCGCCUUCGACGAGUCGAGUUGUUUGGGAAUGCAGCUCUAAAUGGGUGGUAAACUCCAUCUAAAGCUAAAUAUUGGCGGGAGACCGAUAGCGCACAAGUAGAGUGAUCGAAAGAUGAAAAGCACUUUGAAAAGAGAGUUAAAAAGUACGUGAAAUUGUUGAAAGGGAAGCGCUUGAGACCAGACUCGGCCGGAGGCCAUCAGGCCCGGUUCUCCGGGCUGCACUUGCCUCUGGUCGGGCCAGCAUCGGUUGCGACGGCGGGAUAAAGGUCCGGGGAAUGUGGCUCCUCUCGGGGAGUGUUAUAGCCCCGGGCGCCAUGCCGCCUGUCGCGACCGAGGACCGCGCUUCGGCUAGGAUGCUGGCGUAAUGGUCUUCAGCGACCCGUCUUGAAACACGGACCAAGGAGUCUAACAUCUAUGCGAGUGUUCGGGUGGAAAACCCUUGCGCGUAAUGAAAGUGAACGGAGGUGUGAAGCCGCAAGGCCGCAACAUCGACCGAUCCUGAUGUCUUCGGAUGGAUUUGAGUAGGAGCAUAGCUGUUGGGACCCGAAAGAUGGUGAACUAUGCCUGAAUAGGGUGAAGCCAGAGGAAACUCUGGUGGAGGCUCGCAGCGGUUCUGACGUGCAAAUCGAUCGUCAAAUUUGGGUAUAGGGGCGAAAGACUAAUCG
This 868-nucleotide ribosomal RNA is filed under the name Trichaleurina javanica. RNAcentral describes it as "eukaryotic LSU rRNA". It matches the Rfam family "Eukaryotic large subunit ribosomal RNA", at positions 52 to 937 of the family's 3401-position model. The record is from RNAcentral. Lineage: Eukaryota; Fungi; Ascomycota; Pezizomycetes; Pezizales; Chorioactidaceae.